CUGUGUAAUCGCUUACAAACAGGCUGUAAGCGAUUACCAGGUGAGAAAAUGGAUUUUGUACCGAAAGUUGAUGGCGGCUCCCUGGUUUUUUGAACGCUGCUCCCAAUUGGGUGUUGGGGGCUAACAUGGUUAGAAUUAGGGUACAAGUGUUGAGUGAUUUCAAGUGGUGUGUGAUUUUCAUGACCAAUUAUCUUGUGUAAUCGCUUACAAACAGGCUGUAAGCGAUUACCAGGUGAGAAAAUGGAUUU
Molecule: long non-coding RNA, 248 nt
Filed under: Vigna radiata
Lineage: Eukaryota; Viridiplantae; Streptophyta; Magnoliopsida; Fabales; Fabaceae
Description: long non-coding RNA (VRAD_LNC001337)
Source: RNAcentral